This 160-nucleotide ribosomal RNA is filed under the name uncultured bacterium. RNAcentral's name for it is "partial 16S ribosomal RNA". It matches the Rfam family "Bacterial small subunit ribosomal RNA", at positions 373 to 525 of the family's 1533-position model. The record is from RNAcentral.
GGGCGCAAGCCUGAUCCAGCCAUACCGCGUGGGUGAAGAAGGCCUUCGGGUUGUAAAGCCCUUUUGUACGGAAAGAAAGCUUCCAGGUUAAUACCCUGGGAGGAUGACGGUACCGUGAAGAUAAGCACCGGCUAACUUCGUGCCAGCAGCCGCGAUAAUA